AGCAGUAGCCGCGGUAAUACAGAGGAUGCAAGCGUUAUCCGGAAUGAUUGGGCGUAAAGCGUCUGUAGGUGGCUUUUCAAGUCUGCCCUCAAAUCCCAGGGCUCAACACUGCACAGGCGGUGGAAACUACCAAGCUGGAGUACGGUAGGGUCAGACGGAAUUUCCGGUGGAGCGGUGAAAUGCGUUGAGAUCGGAAAGAACACCAACAGCGAAAGCACUCUGCUGGGCCGACACUAACGCUGAGAGACGAAAGCUAGGGGAGCAAAUGGGAUUAGAUACCCCUGUAGUCCCUGUCUCUUAUAC
This 303-nucleotide ribosomal RNA is filed under the name uncultured bacterium. RNAcentral describes it as "partial 16S ribosomal RNA". It matches the Rfam family "Bacterial small subunit ribosomal RNA", at positions 507 to 807 of the family's 1533-position model. The record is from RNAcentral.